GCCGGUGUAGCUUAAUAUAAGAGCGUGAUGCUAUAGCGUCUACCUUGAGAGAAUUUUCCGGAAUGAACCUUGAGGAGUGUGGGUUAAAAUCCCACCACCGGCUCCA
RNAcentral lists this transfer RNA (106 nucleotides) under Anaerolineales bacterium. RNAcentral's name for it is "tRNA-OTHER". It matches the Rfam family "tRNA". From Rfam's summary of the family: Transfer RNA (tRNA) molecules are approximately 80 nucleotides in length. The record is from RNAcentral. Lineage: Bacteria; Bacillati; Chloroflexota; Anaerolineae; Anaerolineales.